AGAGCAUUCAACUGUUCCGGCAUCAGAGCACACAGCCAACAGAGGCUCGCGCUGGAGAGACUUGAGGAGAUGCAUUCUGCCACCUCACUCCCCCGAGAGACAGGUGCUUUUCAAAGUUAUUUCCCCAGACUGGAGCGGUUUUGACAAUUUUCUGAUUUGCUUAAAAUGAGCGAUGACGAAAUGUCAUUAGAAGCAUCUGCAAUCAUUAAGGGGGCUCGUCCUGGAUUCUGCCACUGUCUCGCAGGGAGAAGAGACAGGAGACUAAUUAAAUGAAGCCGGCUCAGCCGGGAGCCUGGCUUCCAGAGGCACAAUCUCCCUUGCCAGGCGCAGGGCCGCUGCCUGGCUGCACUAACAGCAGCCGCCCGGCCUAAUCCUCCUUCCUCUGUGACGAGCAUUCCGACGGUGUCCGGAAUAAUAAUGUAAUUAUAGAGAGAAAACACCUCAGCCAUGAAGGGCAAGGAUUUGGAGCUGUUCAAACAUGGGAACUGGAAUCAAAGCCAGCAAAGGGAUCAAGUUCUGAAUGGUCGUCAGCAGCAGACCAUAAUUCCUAUGUCUGCCUGGAGACGCCAGAAGAGCAAGAAAUGGACUCUUGACAGUGAGCCAAGAAGGAUGCUGUGUGAAGACCUCAGGAGGCUGGUGUGCACAUGCGUUCGUCACACAUGGGCAAUAAAGCUGCCCUUUCCUUCUCUAUCGUGAAAAGUGCUGGCCUCAGAACUCUCUAUGUGAGGUGAUCUUGAACUUCAGAUCCUUCUGCCUCUGCCUCCUUAAGCCUUAGGACUUGGAGGCAUGCAUGGCUGUUCUCACGGUGCUGGGGAUUGAAUCCAGGGCUUAUUGCCAUGAUAGACCUCUGCAGUUACCCAUCCUGCAGGGUUCCGUAUCUACAUGAGUUCUGAAGCUGUAGCCCUCAUCUUGGCACAGUGAGGAAAUCUACCCUGGGGAGAACAGGCCCAGUAUGGUGGAGCCAAAGACAACGGGAGAAUGACUAUCAGAGGAUACUGACGGAGCCACUGAAUUAAUUCACUCCACAGUCACCCUUCAGCCGGGUUCUUCGGCGAAGUCAUAAAUCUCCUUAUCAUUUGAAUGAGCUGUGCCUCCCAUUAAUUACAGCUACAAGCAGCCAAAACCAUGCAUGGAGUUUCUAGGGGAAAUAAUCUAAAGACCUACCAAGCACUUAGAAGUGAUACUCCAGGAAAUAAAACCACAUCGAAACAGUCCCUACACCCUCAGGUCCAGAAGACACAUGACUCUAGGGUCACCCCACCGGUCUCCUGGUUCUACAGAUGAACACGGGGUUCCCACAGCUGCCUCAACUGCACCAUUUAAUCACUCAAAUAUAACGGGUGUCAGGCUCUGAGGGGAGCUAAUC
Molecule: non-coding RNA, 1366 nt
Organism: Peromyscus maniculatus bairdii (prairie deer mouse)
Lineage: Eukaryota; Metazoa; Chordata; Mammalia; Rodentia; Cricetidae
Source: RefSeq, a predicted model, not a curated record